This 434-nucleotide ribosomal RNA is filed under the name uncultured Eubacterium sp. RNAcentral's name for it is "bacterial SSU rRNA". It matches the Rfam family "Bacterial small subunit ribosomal RNA", at positions 958 to 1393 of the family's 1533-position model. Lineage: Bacteria; Bacillati; Bacillota; Clostridia; Eubacteriales; Eubacteriaceae. The record is from RNAcentral.
AACGCGAAGAACCUUACCAAAUCUUGACAUCCCGAUGACAGGCUGUGUAAUGCAGCUUCUCUUCGGAGCAUCGGUGACAGGUGGUGCAUGGUUGUCGUCAGCUCGUGUCGUGAGAUGUUGGGUUAAGUCCCGCAACGAGCGCAACCCUUGUCUUUAGUAGCCAGCAUUUAGGAUGGGCACUCUAGAGAGACUGCCAGGGAUAACCUGGAGGAAGGUGGGGAUGACGUCAAAUCAUCAUGCCCCUUAUGAUUUGGGCUACACACGUGCUACAAUGGCGUAAACAAAGAGAAGCAAAGGAGUGAUCCGGAGCAAAUCUCAAAAAUAACGUCUCAGUUCGGAUUGUAGUCUGCAACUCGACUACAUGAAGCUGGAAUCGCUAGUAAUCGCGAAUCAGAAUGUCGCGGUGAAUACGUUCUCGGGUCUUGUACACACGC